CCUACGGGAGGCAGCAGUGGGGAAUUUUGGACAAUGGGCGAAAGCCUGAUCCAGCAAUGCCGCGUGAGUGAAGAAGGCCUUCGGGUUGUAAAGCUCUUUUGUCAGGGAAGAAACGGUGUUUUCUAAUACAGAAUGCUAAUGACGGUACCUGAAGAAUAAGCACCGGCUAACUACGUGCCAGCAGCCGCGGUAAUACGUAGGGUGCAAGCGUUAAUCGGAAUUACUGGGCGUAAAGCGUGCGCAGGCGGUUUUGUAAGUCUGACGUGAAAUCCCCGGGCUCAACCUGGGAAUUGCGUUGGAGACUGCAAGGCUAGAGUUUGGCAGAGGGGGGUAGAAUUCCACGUGUAGCAGUGAAAUGCGUAGAUAUGUGGAGGAACACCGAUGGCGAAGGCAGCCCCCUGGGUCAAGACUGACGCUCAUGCACGAAAGCGUGGGGAGCAAACAGGGUUAGAUACCCUGGUAGUCCACGCCCUAAACGAUGUCUACUAGUUGUCGGGUCUUAAUUGACUUGGUAACGCAGCUACGCGUGAGUAGACCGCCGUCGGGAGGUACGGUCGCGAGAAGUUAAACGUAACGAAAGGAAGUUAGACGGCGUGAGACGUGCCGACGGACGACGACGAGGGAGGAGG
This 629-nucleotide ribosomal RNA is filed under the name uncultured bacterium. Its description in RNAcentral is "bacterial SSU rRNA". The stretch from base 1 to 540 matches the Rfam family "Bacterial small subunit ribosomal RNA", at positions 338 to 873 of the family's 1533-position model. The record is from RNAcentral.